RNAcentral lists this ribosomal RNA (762 nucleotides) under Trichormus variabilis SULS-W1. RNAcentral's name for it is "bacterial SSU rRNA". It matches the Rfam family "Bacterial small subunit ribosomal RNA", at positions 99 to 895 of the family's 1533-position model. Lineage: Bacteria; Bacillati; Cyanobacteriota; Cyanophyceae; Nostocales; Nostocaceae. The record is from RNAcentral.
CGGACGGGUGAGUAACGCGUGAGAAUCUGGCUUCAGGUCGGGGAUAACUACUGGAAACGGUGGCUAAUACCGGAUGUGCCGAGAGGUGAAAGGCUUGCUGCCUGAAGAUGAGCUCGCGUCUGAUUAGCUAGUAGGUGUGGUAAGAGCGCACCUAGGCGACGAUCAGUAGCUGGUCUGAGAGGAUGAUCAGCCACACUGGGACUGAGACACGGCCCAGACUCCUACGGGAGGCAGCAGUGGGGAAUUUUCCGCAAUGGGCGAAAGCCUGACGGAGCAAUACCGCGUGAGGGAGGAAGGCUCUUGGGUUGUAAACCUCUUUUCUCAAGGAAUAAUUAUGAAGGUACUUGAGGAAUAAGCAUCGGCUAACUCCGUGCCASCAGCCGCGGUAAUACGGAGGAUGCMAGCGUUAUCCGGAAUGAUUGGGCGUAAAGCGUCCGCAGGUGGCGAUGUAAGUCUGCUGUUAAAGAGUGAGGCUCAACCUCAUAAGAGCAGUGGAAACUACAUGGCUAGAGUGCGUUCGGGGUAGAGGGAAUUCCUGGUGUAGCGGUGAAAUGCGUAGAGAUCAGGAAGAACACCGGUGGCGAAGGCGCUCUACUAGGCCGCAACUGACACUGAGGGACGAAAGCUAGGGGAGCGAAUGGGAUUAGAUACCCCAGUAGUCCUAGCCGUAAACGAUGGAUACUAGGCGUUGCGAGUAUCGACCCUCGCAGUGCCGGAGCCAACGCGUUAAGUAUCCCGCCUGGGGAGUACGCACGCAAGUGU